ACGCUCGACACCUACUGGAGGCAGCAGUGGGGAAUAUUGCACAAUGGGGGAAACCCUGAUGCAGCGACGCCGCGUGAAGGAAGAAGUAUUUCGGUAUGUAAACUUCUAUCAGCAGGGAAGAAAAUGACGGUACCUGACUAAGAAGCCCCGGCUAACUACGUGCCCGCAGCCGCGGUAAUCUGAGCGGGCUGGCAAGGC
This 198-nucleotide ribosomal RNA is filed under the name uncultured bacterium. Its description in RNAcentral is "partial 16S ribosomal RNA". It matches the Rfam family "Bacterial small subunit ribosomal RNA", at positions 328 to 539 of the family's 1533-position model. The record is from RNAcentral.